GUGGAGUAUGCCAGCAUAAAGGUCAUUCAGCUUCUCCUCUCUAGUGGAUACCACUGUAUGUUUAGGAGCAUUAAAGUCGGGGCAUAGUUCCAAGGCUAAGUGCAUCUCAUCCAAAGAUUGAGUCUGCGCAAUAAUAUCUUUCGGCGUGUGCUUGAACGAAAUGCUACCGCCGUGCUCUGCCCUAAGCCAGGGACCAUAAACUUUGGCUAUGUUGCCAUCUUUUGUGGUGAUGGUUGCUGGAUUUUUGAAACGACAUGCUCCUGUAACAUGAUCUAGUCUCCCACAUUUGUAACAAUAGUCAGAUAGUUUUUCAUAUUUGAAUUGGAUCCAUCUCUGAGUCCCAUCAUCCCUGUCUUGGAAGAAACCUAUGGGCAAACGGUUUAGGGUAGAAAGAUCGAUUUUGAAUCUCAAAAAACGUUGGCCAACUACACAGCCCUUGGAUAUGGAAUUUGAUUAGCUGUAUCAACAUGAAGGAAUAGAGGUGGUAGUCAGUGGACCUGUAUCGCAAAUGUUGUGGUAUCAAAAGAGAUUUCUUUCGAUGACUUAUUUGAUGGCCAUUCUUUCAAUAUUAGAUGAGCUCCGUCUAUAGACCAAGGUCUAUUUCUAAAGAUACUUUCCUUGUCUUCUCUAGAUCCAAACAGGAAAGUGAACAUGUUUUCUUCCAACUUCUCCACUUUAACUUUAGUCUUCACUGGCCAAACCUUGGGGAUUAUUUCCGCAAGCUUGAAUCUUCUAAGUCUUCUUGUGGUUAAUAGCCUUCCUACUAGAAUUCUCUCUGUUUUGUUUUCUUCGUCACUCACAAUGGGUUUGAGAGUAAGAGAAUUCAGGGAGUUUUGCAACGCGUACAGAUUUCUUUGUUGGUCGUCCAUUCUUCUGAGUGUAGGAACUUUAGAAGAACAGGGGAAAACUUGAUGUUUCCGGUUGUUUCUCACAAUCAAUAUAGUCGCGUCAGAGAUUUACACAGCCAGCUCUCAGGGGUUUUUUAUCGAACAUCUUGUCUACAAUGCUCUGGGUAUUCAACUUCAGAAACUGUGACUCUUGUAUUCCUCAUCGAGGAUCGAAGAGUUACUUGCUGACGCUUUUUAGGAUGUUCAUUAUAAACCCAUAUAUUUAUUGGCUCCAUUCUCAUAUAAUCUUGUAUUGUUUUAAAGUAAGGUCCUUUAUAGAAAACAACGCUACCACUAGUAGAUGCUAUCCAGCCAAUAUUGCGGAUCAAUCAGAUUAGGCCUUCCAUGCCUUGAUAUUUUGUUCUCCAGAACUUAAAGCAAAGAGAUGCUAUGUCAAAGCAUUCCUCAUGUGUGAUGUAGUGAGAUAAUGCUCUAUGCUUUAUUUCUUUUUUUUUUUUUUUUGGAUUUAAAAUCCUUUAUGGAUAUGACCAUGAGUUAUUUAAAUCCUAUUAAAUUUUGUUUUCUUCAUCGUACUUUCGAUAUCCAUUCCAUGGGUUUCAUUAGAUGGACCUUUUUACUGACCCCUAAGGGUGCUUUUGGUACGUCGGAUUGGCCAGGAUUGGAUGGGACACAGUCCCAGUCUGCUGUUUGCUUGAUCAUUUUAAGCUUGGGACAGGUUUAACCUAAACAGUAAAUUAAUCCCAAAUGAUCGGGGCACAGCUGAACCAUCUCCCCCCCAGGUCAUUUUUGUCCCAAACUCAAAAAAGCCCUUGUUUUCUUGCCGAAGCAUAUCGUUGCCUCGCGUGGAAGAUCGAAGGAAAAAUCACAGCUGCAACUCUCAGAGAAAGAAACACAGUUGGCCAUCUUACUCGAUCUGGAAAGGGCUUCCAUUUGCAAGUAAACCCAAACUCCAAAGAACCCAGUUCAGAGAUUAUCUUGUGAUUUGGAUCGGUUGGACAAAGAGGCAGUGCAAUUUGUGAUUGAGAAACUUCGGUCCCUGAUAGCAAAAACAGCUUGGUUAGAUGAACAGUGCUUCUUAAUAGUGGUGUUGAUAAAAUGUUUUAGAUAUUGUUGUUGAUUUCCCUGCUAAGUAUUUAUCUUUGUAUUUCAUUGAAGAAAAUCUUAAAAUCCAUCUUGAAGCAUUUUAUUGAUGAUGUGUGGCAACAAUUGA
Long non-coding RNA from Ziziphus jujuba (common jujube), 2058 nucleotides. RefSeq lists it as uncharacterized. NCBI's taxonomy places the organism in Eukaryota, Viridiplantae, Streptophyta, Magnoliopsida, Rosales, Rhamnaceae. The transcript is spliced from 4 exons. The record is from RefSeq and is a predicted model, not a curated record.